This 468-nucleotide ribosomal RNA is filed under the name uncultured bacterium. Its description in RNAcentral is "partial 16S ribosomal RNA". It matches the Rfam family "Bacterial small subunit ribosomal RNA", at positions 28 to 507 of the family's 1533-position model. The record is from RNAcentral.
GACGAACGCUGGCGGCGUGCUUAACACAUGCAAGUCGAACGGAAAGGCCCUGCUUUUGUGGGGUGCUCGAGUGGCGAAAGGGUGAGUAACACGUGAGUAACCUGCCCUUGACUUUGGGAUAACUUCAGGAAACUGUGGCUAAUACCGGAUAGGAGCUCCUGCUGCAUGGUGGGGGUUGGAAAGUUUCGGCGGUUGGGGAUGGACUCGCGGCUUAUCAGCUUGUUGGUGGGGUAGUGGCUUACCAAGGCUUUGACGGGUAGCCGGCCUGAGAGGGUGACCGGCCACAAUGGGACUGAGAUACGGCCCAGACUCCUACGGGAGGCAGCAGUGGGGAAUAUUGCACAAUGGGCGGAAGCCUGAUGCAGCAAAGCCGCGUGCGGGAUGACGGCCUUCGGGUUGUAAACCGCUUUCGCCUGUGACGAAGAGUGAGUGACGGUAAUGGGUAAAGAAGCACCGGCUAACUACGUG